Molecule: long non-coding RNA, 541 nt
Filed under: Olea europaea subsp. europaea
Lineage: Eukaryota; Viridiplantae; Streptophyta; Magnoliopsida; Lamiales; Oleaceae
Source: RNAcentral
UGGACUUCCAAACUAACGAGAAUGGAUUCAUUGAAAGGAAAGACUAUGCUUCUUGCGGUGCUUUUGGUUUGUGCACUUCUUUCAGAAGGUGCACCACUAAAACAUAUCGACUAUAAAAACUUUCCCCGAUUUUCAUGUGUUGGAAAAGGUGAUCAUGAAGGGAAGUGCAAAGCAUUGAAUCCACUCCCAAUUGAGAAGAAGAGGGGUUGUAGUCCGAUUACAGGUUGUCGAUCGGGAUGACUGAAGGUUAUUAGGGCAUUGUUUGUACUAGAGGUUCCCUUAAUAAGCAUGAAAACUUAUCCAAUGAUUUCUUCUCGUGGAGGUCCAACAUUCUUUAUAGAAGAAAAAUUUCGAUGGAAAUUUGAAUUUGUAAUAGAAAAAUAUUAAUUUUUACAUUGUGAUUCGUGCUUCAAGAUAAACGUAAUUUUAAGAAGCACUAAUGAAAUUGUAUUACAUAUAUUCAUUUGAGAUGUUUUGUAUAUCCAAAUCCAUUAUGGCUUCCAAUAUAUCUCAAAACAACUAUUUUGCAAUUCAAUCAUGC